This 401-nucleotide ribosomal RNA is filed under the name uncultured fungus. RNAcentral's name for it is "SSU rRNA". It matches the Rfam family "Eukaryotic small subunit ribosomal RNA", at positions 555 to 961 of the family's 1831-position model. The record is from RNAcentral. Lineage: Eukaryota; Fungi.
GCAAGUCUGGUGCCAGCAGCCGCGGUAAUUCCAGCUCCAAUAGCGUAUAUUAAAGUUGUUGCAGUUAAAAAGCUCGUAGUUGAACUUCGGGCCUGGCUGACCGGUCCGCCUCACCGCGUGCACUGGUUCGGCCGGGUCUUUCCUUCUGGCAAACCUCAUGCCCUUUACUGGGUGUGUUGGGGAACCAGGACUUUUACUUUGAAAAAAUUAGAGUGUUCAAAGCAGGCAUAUGCUCGAAUACAUUAGCAUGGAAUAAUAGAAUAGGACGUGCGGUUCUAUUUUGUUGGUUUCUAGGACCGCCGUAAUGAUUAAUAGGGAUAGUCGGGGGCAUCCGUAUUCAAUUGUCAGAGGUGAAAUUCUUGGAUUUAUUGAAGACGAACUACUGCGAAAGCAUUUGCCAA